CAGGGGGAAGGGGAGAAAGAGAGAGAUAGAACAGGGAAUCCACGAGCGAUCGACUGCCCUAGUCAGUCCUCGUCCGUCUGCCGGUCGGUCGUUUACGUUUAUGUUUGACAGCUUGUGAAUUCGCGUCACUCGAGCUUCGACCAGCCAGUGCUUCGUCUGUGUGUGUGUGGAUGUGUAUGUGUGCCGUCUCAUCUACCUACACGCUCGAUCAAAAAAAUGAAUUUCUUCUCGACCGACUUGCCGAUAUCAAUCGAGACUUUUCUCUUUUUCCUGGAUCGUUCGAUUUUUCGAAUCGAUGCCUCGCAUCGAUAUUUUCCGAUCAUCUUAAAAGACACUUUUAUCCGUUCACGCUAGUUACCGGACUUCGACGAUUCUCCGAUUUUCAAAGGAAAAAAAGAUCUCGGAUAGAAAGUCGUAAGAAAUGUUUGGCUGAGACAUUCUGUUAGCCGUUUAAACCCACGUUCCACGCAGUUGAUAGAGAGUCGCGCGAGUAUACGCGUGCCAGAAGCAAGAUGACGAAACUGAGAAAGUUAGAAAAUGACGGAGUUGAUCGCAGGCUCCCGAGAGUUGGCUACCUACCGUUUGGAACAUGCAGCAACAGCAGGCGAGAAAAAGUUGUUGGUCGUUGGUUGGCUCGGUGAGGACGCAGCUUAAUAGACGCAGGAUCACGCGUCGAAAGUUUCGGACGAUCAGUGAACUUGAAAGCGGUACCACGAUGAAUCCGCGAAAGUAGGAGCAACGACCACGCGAAGGGAAUGCUGUUCGACUUCCACGCGCGCACGUUACGUGACAAUAUGCCCCCGAAGCUCCGUUUUCUGGCUAAACUACCGAUGCGAACGAUGCCAUCGUGCGCGCGCGCUAAUCGUUCGUAGAAAGUUCAGCAACCUCUGCCGACGUUUCGUCUCGUGGCCCUCUUUCUCCUUCCUUGCCUCUCUCGAUAGCCAACUACCUCGAUCGGCGUACCGAACGUAUUUAACGCUCGAUUCCAUGACGAGCUUCCUGUGCCACGGAACGAGCUGCCAUUCCUCGCCAAUACCGUCGCUACGUUAGAACGUGUCGCGAAUUUCGUGGAACGGUGAACGGUCGACCUUGUAAGCCCGACUAGAAAGCUAUACACAGGGUGUUCCAGUAUUGAUGGUAGAACCGAGGUGGGGCUGGUUCCGUGUUUAAAAAAUGGAUCGAGAAUAUAGAAUACAUUUUUCUUUUUUUUUUAUUUCAGGCUUGGAAAUCAUUUCAGACUUUCGAGAAAACUGACUCGAAAGCCUGGUCUUAAAGAAAGUAGAAUUUUCUCCGCGUUUAAUUAAGAAUUCGAUUGGUUCACGCGUGCUCCAUCAAGUUUCUAGUUUCAUUUUCUCGCAAAAGGAACAUCCUACGAAAAGUAUCGUUUAUUAUCCACAUUUUUUACUUAUUUUCAUAAAUAGAACAAAUUCUUGUCGGUUCUUCGCUUCCAUCCAGACCGGAAUCAGCCAGGUUCCAAUGCUUUUGAUUUUCAUCAAAUUUUCAAACACGAUUUUUAUCGAAUACGAAGCAAAGUCUCGAUAGCUCGAAUAAAAUUUUAUUUUAUAAUUUUAAUUUGUUCUUUUUCGCGUAGGAUCACCUUCUUGCCGAUUGUAUCGUGAAUACCGGAACAUCCUGUACGCCGUGCUAAAGCGAUCGUCGUUCGCGAUGCUUCGAAUUUGCCCUCCUUUCGUAUCGCACACAUAAUCGUUGCUGGUUUUCUCGACACUCCUUUUCACUCGUUUCAUCCCGCGUAAUAUUCCUCUCGACUAGUUGCUCUUCGGUUCUCCGUCUCGCUCAUUGUCCACGCUUAUUCACCGCGAUGCGCUGUUUCGCUCGUUCAAUUACGCACUUCGUCGGAAUGCCGAGGGAGAAACGAAUUCCAAGAGUGGCAGCCUUGUCAAGGUGUUCCCCGCGCCACUCCUGCAUGGAAAAACUUUUCUACUACGUAAAACAGGGAAAAUACAGUUCGUACAUGUAUGGGGAGAACUGCGAAAAGACAACUGGAUGAUAGAAGUUGCCUCGAGUAUCCGAAACGCAAUUUUUAUUUUCGAUGUUACUUAUUCCGUAUUCGUAUGUAAUUACCAUUUUAUAUAAGGUAUUCGAUUAAAUAAUUAUAUGAUAAA
Long non-coding RNA from Bombus terrestris (buff-tailed bumblebee), 2123 nucleotides. RefSeq lists it as uncharacterized. The transcript has 4 exons. Lineage: Eukaryota; Metazoa; Arthropoda; Insecta; Hymenoptera; Apidae. The record is from RefSeq and is a predicted model, not a curated record.